UGGGGGAAUAUUGCGCAAUGGGCGAAAGCCUGAUGCAGCGACGCCGCGUGAGGGAUGACGGCCUUCGGGUUGUAAACCUCUUUCAGCAGGGAAGAAGCGAAAGUGACGGUACCUGCAGAAGAAGCGCCGGCUAACUACGUGCCAGCAGCCGCGGUAAUACGUAGGGCGCAAGCGGUUGUCCGGAAUUAUUGGGCGUAAAGAGCUCGUAGGCGGUUAGUCGCGUCUGCUGUGAAACUCGAGGCUCAACCUCGGGCUUGCAGUGGGUACGGGCUGACUAGAGUGCGGUAGGGGUGACUGGAAUUCCUGGUGUAGCGGUGGAAUGCGCAGAUAUCAGGAGGAACACCGAUGGCGAAGGCAGUCACUGGGCCGCAACUGACGCUGAGGAGCGAAAGCAUGGGGAGCGAACAGGAUUAGAUACCCUGGUAGUCCAUGCCGUAAACGUUGGGCACUAGGUGUGGGGUCCAGUUUCCACGGACUUCCGUGCCGCAGCAAACGCAUUAAGUGCCCCGCCUGGGGGAGUACGGCCCGCAAGGCUAAAACUCAAAUGAAUUGAC
This 554-nucleotide ribosomal RNA is filed under the name uncultured bacterium. Its description in RNAcentral is "partial 16S ribosomal RNA". It matches the Rfam family "Bacterial small subunit ribosomal RNA", at positions 354 to 914 of the family's 1533-position model. The record is from RNAcentral.